Molecule: long non-coding RNA, 1097 nt
Organism: Patiria miniata (bat star)
Lineage: Eukaryota; Metazoa; Echinodermata; Asteroidea; Valvatida; Asterinidae
Exons: 3
Source: RefSeq, a predicted model, not a curated record
UUGUGGGUGAUGAGCGAAAGAAAAGUGUUGUUAUCUUAUUCUGGAACCAACUGCCGGCAUAGCCGGCAAGCUACUUAGCGGCAAAUCAGUGUUGAAUGCGAACAUGUAGAGAACGAUUUUAAUCUGAAGACAGUUUCUUGUUAACGACUUUUGGAGUGGCAAAGACGAAAGCACUGUGUAGGCCUACUUGAAGUUGCCGAAGCUCGCGCUUCUAGCUUGUGAGUCUGGUGUCCUAUCUGCAUAUUGUUAACGUGAACUAAUGGGGGAAAACAUCAGGGUGAAACAACAAUCACUCAAGCCAAGCCAAACUAGAGGAUGACAACAGAAAGAAAGUGUAUUUAUAACUUCACCACCCGGAGCAUUUUGAUUUGACAUUCUGAUCGUCCCUAUCAGAACCACCAGAAUAGUACAUUGAACCUAAGCCAGGUUCUACGAAAGAAACACCCACCACCUGUGGAGGCCCACCCCACAGCCACGCACCACGAGGGGACCCGACUGCCGUGUGUAUUACUUCCAGUUUGCUAUGCACGCGGGGGACGUUGAUCACUGCCGUCUUGUUCCCCGACCCACACCAUCGUUCUUCCGCAGCUGAUAACAACUCUCGUACUCACUGCUAACCCGGGUCGACGUCAGUCACUCCAGCUCUCAUCAGCUGACGGUACUUCGAAUCAGCUCGGUACGUGCCGACCGCACACACGCCGUGCCGGUCCCGCUCUGGAAACAGCGCAUAUUUAUUUUGAUGGUAGCGAAUUCCUAGACGAAACAUCUCGAGACAGACUUCAGAUGUUCUUUUCUCACUUGCUGCAUAAACACAAGUAUUUUCAUGCUCUGUUGUUGGCAGUUCGCGACUGGCUACAUAAACAGUGAAGACGAGUGCGACUCUCUGCAGAGUUUUCGUUUCUGGGUUUCCUAAGGACAAACAUUCAACCUAAAUCGAUAAGUGAGACGUCAUGCCACUUCUGGACUUCUUCACUUUAAAUAAACACGACUGCACUGGGGGUCUUUUGGCCUUAGCAAAGGAACGUGGAAAAGGAUUCAAACGAGGAUACUAGCGUGACAGGGAGCGGCUACAUCAUAACUGCCAGUGGCUGCAAGGG